GGCUGGUCCGAGUACAGUGGUAUUUACAACUAAUUGAUCACUAUCAGUUACGAUUUGUUCCUUUUCCACUCCCACUAUUUCACGUGACUAGCCUAAA
Y RNA from Callithrix jacchus (white-tufted-ear marmoset), 97 nucleotides. It matches the Rfam family "Y RNA". Rfam says of the family: Y RNAs are components of the Ro ribonucleoprotein particle (Ro RNP), in association with Ro60 and La proteins. The record is from Ensembl. Lineage: Eukaryota; Metazoa; Chordata; Mammalia; Primates; Cebidae.